CCAAACUUGGUCAUUUAGAGGAAGUAAAAGUCGUAACAAGGUUUCCGUAGGUGAACCUGCGGAAGGAUCAUUAAAAGUGGAAGCCGGCCCGCCGGCAACCUUCCAACCCAUUGCGUACGUACCUCGUUGCUUUGGCAGGCCCGCGGGUGGCGGCCGGCCUUUCGGCUGGACAGCGCCUGCCGGAGGACAUAAAAAAAAAAAAAAACCCCCUGGAUUUUUAAACGUCGUGUUGUCAGAGCCUAAGCGCAAAGAAUCAAAACUUUCAACAACGGAUCUCUUGGUUCUGGCAUCGAUGAAGAACGCAGC
RNAcentral lists this unclassified non-coding RNA (306 nucleotides) under uncultured fungus. RNAcentral's name for it is "partial contains small subunit ribosomal RNA, internal transcribed spacer 1, and 5.8S ribosomal RNA". The stretch from base 1 to 73 matches the Rfam family "Eukaryotic small subunit ribosomal RNA", at positions 1759 to 1831 of the family's 1831-position model. Lineage: Eukaryota; Fungi. The record is from RNAcentral.